RNAcentral lists this ribosomal RNA (774 nucleotides) under uncultured Neocallimastigales. Its description in RNAcentral is "partial large subunit ribosomal RNA". It matches the Rfam family "Eukaryotic large subunit ribosomal RNA", at positions 26 to 635 of the family's 3401-position model. The record is from RNAcentral. Lineage: Eukaryota; Fungi; Neocallimastigomycota; Neocallimastigomycetes; Neocallimastigales.
CGCAUCUGUGCAUGCAGCAUAUCAAUAAGCGGAGGAAAAGAAACUAACAAGGAUUCCCCUAGUAACGGCGAGUGAAGCGGGAAGAGCUCAAAUUUGAAAUCUUAAAGGGUUUCCCUUUACGAAUUGUAGUUUAAAGAAGUGUUUUCUGUUGAGGUUUUGGUAAAAGUUCUUAGGAAUAGGACAUCAUAGAGGGUGAGAAUCCCGUAUUUGACCUUUACUUUCAACUUUGUGAUACACUUUCAAAGAGUCGGAUUGUUUGGGAAUGCAGUCCAAAAUGGGUGGUAAAUUUCAUCUAAAGCUAAAUAUUGGCGAGAGACCGAUAGCGAACAAGUACCGUGAGGGAAAGAUGAAAAGAACUUUGAAAAGAGAGUUAAACAGUACGUGAAAUUGUCAAAAGGGAAGCGUUUGACACCAGUGUUGUUUUUCUGAAAAUCAAUUAAAGAACUGUUUAUGCUAAGUUGUUUAGACUUUAUCAGCUAACUGUUUAGUUUUGAGCUUUUCUUUAAUGCACUUUUCAGUUAACAAGUCAACAUCAAUUUCUUUUGCUGUAAAAAAGCUUGAGGAAGGUGGCUUGAGAUUCGUCUUAAGUGUUUAUAGCCUCUUGCCUAUGCAGUCGGAGAGAUUGAGGUCUGCAGCGUAGAUCCUUCGGGGCUAAAUGCAUUUGUGCUAAGUUAUAGCAUUUUAUAGACAACUUGUUGACUAUGAUUUGUCUUGUAGCUUACUCGCUUAUGUUAUUUUACCUACGCUUAGGAUGUUGAAGAUGUAGCACAUCAU